Molecule: long non-coding RNA, 526 nt
Filed under: Vigna radiata
Lineage: Eukaryota; Viridiplantae; Streptophyta; Magnoliopsida; Fabales; Fabaceae
Description: long non-coding RNA (VRAD_LNC005543)
Source: RNAcentral
CAAAGUUUAUAUUCAUUUUACACACAUUAAUAAAUAUAAAACAAUUAUAAAAGAGUAAACUUUUUCAAAUUUUAAAAAAUAUCUCUGAUUCAAAUUACCACCACCAUCUUCAAUUGGGUUGAGACGAGAGAAAAAAUGUUGGAGUGAUGACAGAGAAAAUGUUGAGAUGAGAGAGAAAAUAUCUCUAAUAACAAUUGGGGCAACGGUAGGGAUGACAGGGAAAAUGUUGGAGUGAGAGAGAUGACAGAGAAAAUGUUAGGGUGAGAGAGAUGAAAGAGAAAAGGGUUGAGAGGAAUGAGAGAGGUGAGUAAGGGUUUGGGGGUUUCUUUUCUUGUUUUUUAGUUUUGAGAAUGAAAAUUAUUUAAAUAUCCUUGACUUUAAAACUUAGAAUCCAUGAUAAAUGAGGAUAUUUUUGUCUACUAUAAUCCGGUACACAUUGUUAAAACGUACCAACUGAAAAACAGGCGUACGCGUGUUAACAAACCCCAUAUAUAUAUAUAUAUAUAUAUAUAUAAUUAAAAGAGAU